RNAcentral lists this long non-coding RNA (638 nucleotides) under Cicer arietinum (chickpea). RNAcentral's name for it is "long non-coding RNA (CARI_LNC001345)". Lineage: Eukaryota; Viridiplantae; Streptophyta; Magnoliopsida; Fabales; Fabaceae. The record is from RNAcentral.
CUCAUUUCAUUAUUUGAAGCUUCAAGCAAUUACAUGACAAAAAGCUAAAAGCAAGUUACAGUUAAAAUUAUACUAAACAACAAAACAAAAUCAAUUACAGAUAAAAGGAAAAUACAACCAAAAAAAAUGAAAAUCGAACAACCACAUCAUUCACUCAUCUCACAUCUCACAUCUCACAUCUCACAUCUCAAAAGGGGGUAUUGCUGAGGUGAAUGAGGUUCAGGUUGCUAUUCAGGAUUUUGAGGUUGCUCCUAUUAGACGGUUCUUCAGCAGGGGCCUCAUCAAUCUUUUCUCUUUCACUCUCCAACCAUCUCAUGUUAGGAACCACCUUACCAACAUUAGGUUCCCUAUUAACCCCUUGCGACAUACAAAACAUUUUGGUUGUUUUUGGCCAAUUUAACGAUGUUGUCUGAAAUUAUAUGUCCCAAAUUAAUGGGGCGCCUCUUCAUCAAGAUGUACACUCCUAAAGCCCUUCUCACUCUAAUCUCGAAGUAGUUCGAGCAAGAUUCCACUUGUGAUAAAAAAAUUAUAAACCAAGCCUUAGGUGAGUAAAAGAUUUAUAAAUGGCUGUUUAAUUGCAAAUGAAUUAAAAUUAACUAGAUAAAAUAAUAAAAUUAAGAAAAAUAAUUAGGAAUUUG